This 446-nucleotide ribosomal RNA is filed under the name uncultured bacterium. Its description in RNAcentral is "bacterial SSU rRNA". It matches the Rfam family "Bacterial small subunit ribosomal RNA", at positions 330 to 792 of the family's 1533-position model. The record is from RNAcentral.
GCCAGACUCCUACGGGAGGCAGCAGUGGGGAAUAUUGCACAAUGGGGGAAACCCUGAUGCAGCAACGCCGCGUGAGUGAAGAAGCGUUUCGGCGCGUAAAGCUCUGUCAGCGGGGAAGAAAGAAGACGGUACCCGACCAAGAAGCCCCGGCUAACUACGUGCCAGCAGCCGCGGUAAUACGUAGGGGGCAAGCGUUAUCCGGAUUUACUGGGUGUAAAGGGAGCGCAGACGGCAGUGCAAGUCUGGAGUGAAAGCCCGGGGCCCAACCCCGGAACUGCUCUGGAAACUGUGCGGCUAGAGUACUGGAGGGGCAGGCGGAAUUCCUAGUGUAGCGGUGAAAUGCGUAGAUAUUAGGAGGAACACCAGUGGCGAAGGCGGCCUGCUGGACAGUAACUGACGUUGAGGCUCGAAAGCGUGGGGAGCAAACAGGAUUAGAUACCCCGGUA